AUAUAUAUACACACACACACACACAUAUAUAUAUACAUAUGUGUGUAUAUGUAUAUAUGUAUAUAUAU
Molecule: non-coding RNA, 68 nt
Organism: Podarcis lilfordi (Lilford's wall lizard)
Lineage: Eukaryota; Metazoa; Chordata; Lepidosauria; Squamata; Lacertidae
Source: the annotation of a GenBank genome assembly